UGACUUAAGCAUAUCAAUAAGCGGAGGAAAAGAAACCAACAGGGAUUGCCCUAGUAACGGCGAGUGAAGCGGCAACAGCUCAAAUUUGAAAUCUGGCUCUUUUAGGGUCCGAGUUGUAAUUUGCAGAGGGCGCUUUGGCGUUGGCAGCGGUCCAAGUUCUUUGGAACAGGACGUCACAGAGGGUGAGAAUCCCGUACGUGGUCGCUAGCCUUCGCCGUGUAAAGCCCCUUCGACGAGUCGAGUUGUUUGGGAAUGCAGCUCUAAAUGGGAGGUAAAUUUCUUCUAAAGCUAAAUACUGGCCAGAGACCGAUAGCGCACAAGUAGAGUGAUCGAAAGAUGAAAAGCACUUUGGAAAGAGAGUCAAAUAGCACGUGAAAUUGUUGAAAGGGAAGCGCUUGCAGCCAGACUUGCCUGUAGUUGCUUAUCCGGACUUUUGUCCGGUGCACUCUUCUGCGGGCAGGCCAGCAUCAGUUUAGGCGGUUGGAUAAAGGUCUCUAUCACGUACCUCCCUUCGGGGUUGGCCUUAUAGGGGAGACGACAUGCAACCAGCCUGAACUGAGGUCCGCGCAUCUGCUAGGAUGCUGGCGUAAUGGCUGUAAGCGGCCCGUCUUGAAACACGGACCAAGGAGUCUAACAUCUAUGCGAGUGUUUGGGUGUCAAGCCCAGACGCGUAAUGAAAGUGAACGGAGGUGGGAACCUUUUAGGUGCACCAUCGACCGAUCCUGAUGUCUUCGGAUGGAUUUGAGUAAGAGCAUGGCUGUUGGGACCCGAAAGAUGGUGAACUAUGCUUGAAUAGGGUGAAGCCAGAGGAAACUCUGGUGGAGGCUCGCAGCGGUUCUGACGUGCAAAUCGAUCGUCAAAUUUGGGCAUAGGGGCGAAAGACUAAUCGAAC
This 892-nucleotide ribosomal RNA is filed under the name Septoriella allojunci. RNAcentral describes it as "eukaryotic LSU rRNA". It matches the Rfam family "Eukaryotic large subunit ribosomal RNA", at positions 30 to 940 of the family's 3401-position model. The record is from RNAcentral. Lineage: Eukaryota; Fungi; Ascomycota; Dothideomycetes; Pleosporales; Phaeosphaeriaceae.